GCCGGGACCAUCCGGCAAGGCUAAAUACUCCCGGGAGACCGAUAGUGAACCAGUACCGUGAGGGAAAGGUGAAAAGCACCCCGGACAGGGGAGUGAAAGAGUCCCUGAAACCGUAUGCCUACAAGCGGUCGGAGCAUGCUUUGCAUGUGACGGCGUGCCUUUUGCAUAAUGAUCCUACGAGUUACCGUCGUUGGCAAGGUUAAGCGCAAGGAUGCGCGCAGCCGUAGCGAAAGCGAGUCUGAAACGGGCGAGUGAGUCAGCGGAGGUAGACGCGAAACCAAGUGAUCUACCCUUGGGCAGGAUGAAGGUGAGGUAACACUCACUGGAGGUCCGAACGAAUAAGCGUUGAAAAGCUUCUCGAUGACCUGAGGGUAGGAGUGAAAGGCCAAUCAAACUUGGAGAUAGCUCGUACUCCCCGAAAAGCAUUUAGGUGCUGCCUCGGGCGUUCCUGUUGUGAGGUAGAGCGACUGAUUGGAUGCGAGGGCUUCACCGCCUAUCAAGUCCUGAUAAACUCCGAAUGCGCAACAGCCAAGCCCGGGAGUAAGGGCGCGGGUGCUAAGGUCCGUGCCCGAGAGGAGAAGAAUCCAGACCACCGGCUAAGGUCCCGAAAUCCUGUCUAAGUCAGUCUAACGAAGUGCGGUUCCUAUGACAGCUAGGAUGUUGGCUCGGAAGCAGCCAUUCAUUCAAAGAGUGCGUAACAGCUCACUAGUCGAGGAACUGCGCAUGGAUAAUAAUCGGGUGUGAAGUCAGGUACCGAAGCCGUGGGAUACUUUAUGUAUCGGUAGGGGAGCAUUCCUGUCAGCGUCGAAGGCGCACCGCGAGGUGCUCUGGAGCGUCAGGAAAAGCAAAUGUAGGAAUAAGUAACGAUAAAGGGGGUGCGAUGCCCCCUCGCCGAAAGACCAAGGUUUCCUCAGCAACGCUAAUCGGCUGAGGGUCAGUCGGGUCCUAAGGCUCAUCCGAACGGAGAGGCCGAUGGCAGAAACGUUUAAUAUUACGUUACUACCUCCCGCGCGACGUGGAGACGGAGCAGUGACACUUCCGCGAGCAGACGGAUGCUCGUUGAAGGGUGUAGGCGCAGANNCAUACUCCCGAGAAAAUCCGCUAAGCAUCAACGGCGAGGUACCCGUACCGUAAACGGACACACGUGGUCGGGUUGAAUAUACUAAGGCGCUUGGGUGAUUCACGGUUAAGGAACUAGGCAAACUGACCCCGUAACUUCGGGAUAAGGGGUCCUCGUGAUGAGCGAGGCGCAGAGAAUAGGUCCAGGCAACUGUUUACCAAAAACACAGGGCUGUGCAAACUCGAAAGAUGAUGUAUACAGCCUGACACCUGCCCGGUGCUGGAAGGUUAAGAGGAGAUGUCACCGCAAGGGAAGCAUUGAAUUGAAGCCCCAGUAAACGGCGGCCGUAACUAUAACGGUCCUAAGGUAGCGAAAUUCCUUGUCGGGUAAGUUCCGACC
This 1459-nucleotide ribosomal RNA is filed under the name bovine gut metagenome. RNAcentral's name for it is "bacterial LSU rRNA". It matches the Rfam family "Bacterial large subunit ribosomal RNA", at positions 446 to 1988 of the family's 2925-position model. The record is from RNAcentral.